CCAAUAGCGUAUAUUAAAGUUGUUGUGGUUAAAAAGCUCGUAGUUGAACCUUGGGCCUGGCUGGCCGGUCCGCCUCACCGCGUGUACUGGUCCGGCCGGGCCUUUCCCUCUGUGGAACCCCAUGCCCUUCACUGGGUGUGGCGGGGAAACAGGACUUUUACUGUGAAAAAAUUAGAGUGCUCCAGGCAGGCCUAUGCUCGAAUACAUUAGCAUGGAAUAAUAGAAUAGGACGUGUGGUUCUAUUUUGUUGGUUUCUAGGACCGCCGUAAUGAUUAAUAGGGACAGUCGGGGGCAUCAGUAUUCAAUUGUCAGAGGUGAAAUUCUUGGAUUUAUUGAAGACUAACUACUGCGAAAGCAUUUGCCAAGGAUGUUUUAAUUAAUCAGGAACGAAAGUUAGGGGAUCGAAGACGAUCAGAUACCGUCGUAGUCUUAACCAUAAACUAUGCCGACUAGGGAUCGGACGGUGUUAUUUUUUGACCCGUUCGGCACCUUACG
RNAcentral lists this ribosomal RNA (495 nucleotides) under uncultured Glomeromycotina. RNAcentral describes it as "partial small subunit ribosomal RNA". It matches the Rfam family "Eukaryotic small subunit ribosomal RNA", at positions 591 to 1092 of the family's 1831-position model. Lineage: Eukaryota; Fungi; Glomeromycota. The record is from RNAcentral.